This 292-nucleotide ribosomal RNA is filed under the name uncultured bacterium. Its description in RNAcentral is "partial 16S ribosomal RNA". It matches the Rfam family "Bacterial small subunit ribosomal RNA", at positions 505 to 796 of the family's 1533-position model. The record is from RNAcentral.
GUGUCAGCAGCCGCGGUAAUACAGAGGGUGCGAACGUUGCUCGGAAUUACUGGGCGUAAAGCGCAUGUAGGCGGGUCGGCAAGUCAGAUGUGAAAUCCCCGGGCUCAACCCGGGAACUGCAUCUGAAACUGCUGGUCUUGAGUACUGGAGAGGGUGGCGGAAUUCCUGGUGUAGAGGUGAAAUUCGUAGAUAUCAGGAGGAACACCGGUGGCGAAGGCGGCCACCUGGACAGUAACUGACGCUGAGAUGCGAAAGCGUGGGGAGCAAACAGGAUUAGAUACCCUGGUAGUCC